RNAcentral lists this long non-coding RNA (314 nucleotides) under Salvia miltiorrhiza (redroot sage). RNAcentral's name for it is "long non-coding RNA (SMIL_LNC000963)". The record is from RNAcentral. Lineage: Eukaryota; Viridiplantae; Streptophyta; Magnoliopsida; Lamiales; Lamiaceae.
AGUUGCAGGAGAAAAAUGGGGAAAGAGAAUGAGGAGAAAUGGGGGAGUCAGUGGAUUGGGGAAGAAAGAAGAAGAAAGGAAAUAGCGGUUGGGUUGGGGUGGGUUAGGGUUUUAAGAAUUUUGUUUUUUGAUUUUAUUGAUUUUUUCUUUUAAAAUCCUAUUUUUUUUAAUUUCACCUAAUUUUUAAUUAUUGUAAUGUUUUUAAUUUUAAAAUCCUAUAUUUUAUUUUAUUUUAGGUAAUGUAAUAUUGAAAUUUUAAUGAAAUGUUUAAUUUUAUAAUAGUAGAAUAAAAAUAGAAUUAAAUGAAAAUGAAG